This 188-nucleotide non-coding RNA is filed under the name Reticulomyxa filosa. Its description in RNAcentral is "Bacterial small subunit ribosomal RNA". It matches the Rfam family "Bacterial small subunit ribosomal RNA", at positions 1346 to 1533 of the family's 1533-position model. The record is from Rfam by way of RNAcentral. Lineage: Eukaryota; Foraminifera; Reticulomyxidae.
AGGUCAGCAUACUGCGGUGAAUACGUUCCCGGGCCUUGUACACACCGCCCGUCACACCAUGGGAGUGGAAUCCGCCAGAAGUGGGUAGGGUAACCGUAAGGAGCCCGCUUACCACGGUAGGUUUCAUGACUGGGGUGAAGUCGUAACAAGGUAGCCGUAGGGGAACCUGCGGCUGGAUCACCUCCUUU